Molecule: long non-coding RNA, 993 nt
Organism: Felis catus (domestic cat)
Lineage: Eukaryota; Metazoa; Chordata; Mammalia; Carnivora; Felidae
Exons: 3
Source: RefSeq, a predicted model, not a curated record
CUUGCGCUCUGUGUCUCUCUCAAAAAUAAACAUUAAAAAAAGAAGACUUUUAAAAAAUUAAGAAAUUUAAAUGAUGUUAUAUAGCUUUGUAUUUCUUAAUGUUGGUAUACCCCCAAAUUUAUAUUUCGAGGCCCCUGACCCCUGGUAUUUGGAGAUGGGACAUUAGAAUGUAAUUAAAGUGUGAGGAGGGCAUGAGGAUGGGGUUCUUUCUUAUAACAGAGACAGCAGAGAGCUGAUUUACAGGUUCUUGCACCCUUGCUCACACAUGUGCACGCCUUCUAUCUCCACCAGGUGAGAACACAGUGAAAAGGAUGCGUGUCUACAAACCAGGAAGAGGGCUCUAACCAGAAACGGAAUGGGUCACACCUUAAUCUUGGAUUUCCCAGCCUCCGGAACUGUGCGAAACAAAUUUCUAUUGUUUAAGAUCUCCAGUCUAAGAGAACUUAAGUCCUCAACCAAAGCAGUUGAUGGGAUGGCAGAAUCGUACGCAUGUCCAGGGUUAGUACAUCAUCUCCUCAGGCCACGGCAUCCAAUCAUCUUCGGUAAAGGGUCCAUCUCUUAUAUUAUUUAGUCAUUUCCCUUCAAUUCAUCUCACUCCACCUGAAAGCUUCCAUUAUAAUGUGUUUACAGCAUUAGAUUUGUAUAUGUCCUUGAAAAGUAAAUAGUGCUGCUUUGAAUACUGUCUUUAAGUCAUUUAAUUGUUGUUGACUUAUGAAUCUCAUUCCUGUUUACACACUUCUCCCUCAACACAUGAUGAGAGGCUCAGCAACCCUAAGGUCUGCAGUUGCCAAGCUGUGAGCCUGUGGUGGAGUUUCAGUCCAAGUCUGAAGGCAGGAGAAGACUUCUCAGCCUCCAUAAUUGAGUGAGCCAGUUCCUUAUAGGAAAUCUCCAUAUUUCUUUUUUCUUAAGUUUUAUUUAUUUAUUUUUGAGAGAGAAGGAGAAAGAGUGAGCAGGGGAGGGACAGAGAGAGGGACAGAGAAAGAAUCCCAAACA